GAGUUUGAUCCUGGCUCAGGAUGAACGCUGGCGGCGUGCCUAAUACAUGCAAGUCGAGCGAACAGAUAAGGAGCUUGCUCCUUUGACGUUAGCGGCGGACGGGUGAGUAACACGUGGGUAACCUACCUAUAAGACUGGAAUAACUCCGGGAAACCGGGGCUAAUGCCGGAUAAUAUUUAGAACCGCAUGGUUCUAAAGUGAAAGAUGGUUUUGCUAUCACUUAUAGAUGGACCCGCGCCGUAUUAGCUAGUUGGUGGGGUAAUGGCUUACCAAGGCAACGAUACGUAGCCGACCUGAGAGGGUGAUCGGCCACACUGGAACUGAGACACGGUCCAGACUCCUACGGGAGGCAGCAGUAGGGAAUCUUCCGCAAUGGGCGAAAGCCUGACGGAGCAACGCCGCGUGAGUGAUGAAGGUCUUCGGAUCGUAAAACUCUGUUAUUAGGGAAGAACAAAUGUGUAAGUAACUGUGCACGUCUUGACGGUACCUAAUCAGAAAGCCACGGCUAACUACGUGCCAGCAGCCGCGGUAAUACGUAGGUGGCAAGCG
Molecule: ribosomal RNA, 549 nt
Filed under: uncultured bacterium
Lineage: Bacteria
Description: bacterial SSU rRNA
Rfam family: Bacterial small subunit ribosomal RNA
Source: RNAcentral